RNAcentral lists this unclassified non-coding RNA (392 nucleotides) under soil metagenome. RNAcentral's name for it is "partial contains 5.8S ribosomal RNA, internal transcribed spacer 2, and large subunit ribosomal RNA". The stretch from base 1 to 122 matches the Rfam family "5.8S ribosomal RNA", at positions 35 to 154 of the family's 154-position model. The record is from RNAcentral.
GAUGAAGAACGCAGCGAAAUGCGAUACUUGGUGUGAAUUGCAGAAUCCCGUGAACCAUCGAGUCUUUGAACGCAAGUUGCGCCCGAAGCCACUAGGCCGAGGGCACGCCUGCCUGGGCGUCACACGUCGUUGCCCCCCACCAUCUACUCCUUCGGGAUUGCGGGGGGCGGAUGAUGGCCUCCCGUGCGCCUAGCCGCGCGGUUGGCAUAAAUACCAAGUCCUCGGCGACGCACGCCACGACAAUCGGUGGUUGCGAAACCUCGGUUGCCCGUCGUGUGCGUUCGUCGCGCAUCGAGGGCUCGAAAAAAUGCUCGGCUCCGGCUCGGCUUUCAACGCGACCCCAGGUCAGGCGGGGUUACCCGCUGAAUUUAAGCAUAUCAAUAAGCGGCGGA